GGGCUAAAAAUAAAUGAAACAGAUGGAAAACAAAUACAUUUUUUGUCAUUCUUAGAAUAUAAAGUGUUAUAGUAAACUCGUAACUCGACCAGAAGUGAGGUAUAAGUCAGAUGUACCCACACUUCCUCGGCUAGCGCCUCGGAGGCCACAUGACUCAAACAGUAGGGGUAUUGAGCGACACACCUCGGAAAGUGUGGGUAUAUCUAAUACACGUCAGAGUUAUAUUGCUUUAUGGUGUCACUGAUAAUACUCUAAUUGUUUUUUUAGAGAAACCUGCAGUGCGCCAUUGCACUGUAUUAUGCAAUAUCUAUUCCGUGGCUAAAUCAAGAGACACGUCAGCAUUAUAUUGGUUAUGUUUAUGCUGAUGUCAUCGUGCGAAUUACUUAUAGCCCCACAAUAUCCGGAACUGCAUUACGUCUUGGAAGGUAGCUUCGCAAGUACGAGCUCCGUUCACAGAUUCCUGCCUUACACUAACGUUUCGAGAAUGGCGAACUGUUCUGCGGAAACUAGGCGACACAUCAAAGCCCUGAUCGACAUCCCAGGCAUUCCAUGGGGAAAAUGGCCUCCACAAGAGCAUCCAAUAUCAGGAAUCUACAUUAUCAAAGAGCGUGAAGUGGGGAAUUUACCAGCAAACCACGUUAACACGGUUGAAUAUGUGAUCUACGUGGGGAGAUCCAGCGAUAUAAAAAAGAGUCUGAUUUCACAUUCUUUCGGAGGCAAGCAAGAUAUCGACAUACAUAUUGCUGUUACCCCCUGAAGAGAACAAGUUCUGCUUCAACAUUGUGCCUGACUCCGACCUAAGUGAGGACUGUUAUAUAGACCACAUUACUCAGUUGCAAGGUCGGCGGCCGAGGUUCAACUAGACAAGAGGAGAUGCGUGUGCCCCAUGUCAGAGCAGAUAAAUCUUGUGACAAGGAAUCAAUAAUGUCAUGAAUCACUUAAACCUGACUUAAACCUGACUCACCUGUAGCUGACUGCGUAAUGUGUAUAAAAAUCUGAGCUUUGUGUUAAUCUGGCCCACAUUCAUUCACGAUUUGAUAUGAUCAGAACAGAAGAGAAAUAAACAUGAUGACAUUGUAAA
Molecule: long non-coding RNA, 1081 nt
Organism: Haliotis rubra (blacklip abalone)
Lineage: Eukaryota; Metazoa; Mollusca; Gastropoda; Lepetellida; Haliotidae
Exons: 2
Source: RefSeq, a predicted model, not a curated record